UGGUAUAAAAAGAAAAUGAAGAAGGGACUGCUUCUGUUGCUUCAGGGGAGCGCCAGCUUUACCUUCACCUUGGACUUUGUUUCCUGGAUUCCAGUGCAGCAUCUUCAGCCUCCAGCAUCGACCCUUCAUCCUCCUGAUGUGGAUUUGCAUGGUACACUACAGUGAGCUCUAGGCCUUUGACUGCAUUCAUCAGAUCUCCAGUGCACUGACAGAUCUUUUGCACUCUUCCACACCCAACUCUAAUGUUUUGCCUCAGCAAUGAGAGAAGUAACUAAAACACAAACUAGUAGAGAAUCGAAUCUCUGACAGAUGUCCUGAUGUGGAAGACUUUCAGAAGUGAAACCAUGUGAUUAAAAGAGCCGAGUACAAAACUGUAUGCUUAUUAUGAAAAUUCUCACUCAGUCUACAAUUUCUUACAGAAUUUCCAGUAACUGGAUUGGGAAGGAAGAGUUAUGUAAAUUCACUUAGGGAAGAGGAAAGAGGAGAAUAAAGAAAAAGCUACUCCCUGAAAACAUCACAUCCACAAAGAGAAGGCACUCAUCCUAUGCACUUUUGGAUAUCUAUGUAUCAUUCUACCCCAACCACCCGGAU
Molecule: long non-coding RNA, 591 nt
Organism: Chinchilla lanigera (long-tailed chinchilla)
Lineage: Eukaryota; Metazoa; Chordata; Mammalia; Rodentia; Chinchillidae
Exons: 3
Source: RefSeq, a predicted model, not a curated record